Molecule: ribosomal RNA, 119 nt
Filed under: Lepisosteus oculatus (spotted gar)
Lineage: Eukaryota; Metazoa; Chordata; Actinopteri; Semionotiformes; Lepisosteidae
Source: RNAcentral
ACCAGCAGCCAAAUCACCCUGCAACUCACAACUGGCAACCCACUGAAGCUCAGUGGGUGUGAGCCUGGUCAGUACCUGGAUGGGAGACCUCCUGGGAAAAACUAAGGUUGCUGCUGGAA